CCUACGGGGGGCAGCAGUGAGGAAUAUUGGUCAAUGGGCGGGAGCCUGAACCAGCCAAGCCGCGUGAGGGAAGAAGGUACAGCGUAUCGUAAACCUCUUUUGUCAGGGAACAAAGGCGGGGACUAGUCCCCGGAUGAGGGUACCUGAAGAAAAAGCAUCGGCUAACUCCGUGCCAGCAGCCGCGGUAAUACGGGGGAUGCGAGCGUUAUCCGGAUUUAUUGGGUUAAAGGGGUGCGCAGGCGGCCUGUUAAGUCAGCGGGAAAAGCCCGGGGCGCAAACCCGGCGAGCCGUUGAAACUGGCGGGCUGGAGUUGGAGAGAAGUACGCGGAAUGCGCGGUGUAGCGGUGAAAUGCUUAGAUAUCGCGAAGAACUCCGAUUGCGAAGGCAGCAUACCGGCGCCCAACUGACGCUGAAGCACGAAAGCGUGGGUAUCGAACAGGAUUAGAUACCCGAGUAGUC
RNAcentral lists this ribosomal RNA (459 nucleotides) under uncultured bacterium. RNAcentral describes it as "partial 16S ribosomal RNA". It matches the Rfam family "Bacterial small subunit ribosomal RNA", at positions 338 to 795 of the family's 1533-position model. The record is from RNAcentral.